AUUGAACGCUGGCGGCAUGCCUUACACAUGCAAGUCGAACGGCAGCGGGGGAGAAGCUUGCUUUUCCUGCCGGCGAGUGGCGAACGGGUGAGUAAUACAUCGGAACGUGCCCUGUAGUGGGGGAUAACUAGUCGAAAGAUUAGCUAAUACCGCAUACGACCUGAGGGUGAAAGUGGGGGACCGCAAGGCCUCAUGCUAUAGGAGCGGCCGAUGUCUGAUUAGCUAGUUGGUGGGGUAAAGGCCUACCAAGGCGACGAUCAGUAGCUGGUCUGAGAGGACGAUCAGCCACACUGGGACGGAGACAGGGCCCAGACUCCUACGGGAGGCAGCAGUGGGGAAUUUUGGACAAUGGGCGAAAGCCUGAUCCAGCAAUGCGGCGUGUGUGAAGAAGGCCUUCGGGUUGUAAAGCACUUUUGUCCGGAAAGAAAUGGCUCUGGUUAAUACCUGGGGUCGAUGACGGUACCGGAAGAAUAAGGACCGGCUAACUACGUGCCAGCAGCCGCCGUAA
This 508-nucleotide ribosomal RNA is filed under the name uncultured bacterium. RNAcentral's name for it is "partial 16S ribosomal RNA". It matches the Rfam family "Bacterial small subunit ribosomal RNA", at positions 30 to 523 of the family's 1533-position model. The record is from RNAcentral.